Molecule: ribosomal RNA, 375 nt
Filed under: uncultured organism
Description: partial 16S ribosomal RNA
Rfam family: Bacterial small subunit ribosomal RNA
Source: RNAcentral
GUAGGUGGCAAGCGUUGUCCGGAAUUAUUGGGCGUAAAGCGCGCGCAGGUGGUUCUUUAAGUCUGAUGUGAAAGCCCCCGGCUCGAACCGGGGAGGGUCAUUGGAAACUGGGGAACUUGAGUGCAGGAGAGGAAAGUGGAAUUCCACGUGUAGCGGUGAAAUGCGUAGAUAUGUGGAGGAACACCAGUGGCGAAGGCGACUUUUCUGGCCUGUAACUGACACUGAGGCGCGAAAGCGUGGGGAGCAAACAGGGAUUAGAUACCCUGGUAGUCCACGCCGUAAACGAUGAGUGCUAAGUGUUGGGGGGGUUUCCGCCCCCUCAGUGCUGCAGCUAACGCAUUAAGCACUCCGCCUGGGAGUACGGUCGCAAGACUG